RNAcentral lists this transfer RNA (39 nucleotides) under Moniliophthora perniciosa FA553. Its description in RNAcentral is "tRNA-Lys". The record is from RNAcentral. Lineage: Eukaryota; Fungi; Basidiomycota; Agaricomycetes; Agaricales; Marasmiaceae.
GCCCGCCUAGCUCAAUCGGAUAGAGCGUCAGACUCUUAU